AGUCGUAACAAGGUCUCCGUAGGUGAACCUGCGGAGGGAUCAUUACACAAAUAUGAAGGCGGGCUGGAACCUCUCGGGGUUACAGCCUUGCUGAAUUAUUCACCCUUGUCUUUUGCGUACUUCUUGUUUCCUUGGUGGGUUCGCCCACCACUAGGACAAACAUAAACCUUUUGUAAUUGCAAUCAGCGUCAGUAACAAAUUAAUAAUUACAACUUUCAACAACGGAUCUCUUGGUUCUGGCAUCGAUGAAGAACGCAGCGAAAUGCGAUAAGUAGUGUGAAUUGCAGAAUUCAGUGGAUCAUCGAAUCUUUGAACGCACAUUGCGCCCUUUGGUAUUCCAAAGGGCAUGCUUGUUCGAGCGUCAUUUGUACCCUCAAGCUUUGCUUGGUGUUGGGCGUCUUGUCUCUAGCUUUGCUGGAGACUCGCCUUAAAGUAAUUGGCAGCCGGCCUACUGGUUUCGGAGCGCAGCACAAGUCGCACUCUCUAUCAGCAAAGGUCUAGCAUCCAUUAAGCCUUUUUUUCAACUUUUGACCUCGGAUCAGGUAGGGAUACCCGCUGAACUUAAGC
Molecule: ribosomal RNA, 567 nt
Filed under: uncultured fungus
Lineage: Eukaryota; Fungi
Description: eukaryotic LSU rRNA
Rfam family: 5.8S ribosomal RNA (bases 211-364)
Source: RNAcentral